AAUAGAUACCCGGGUAGUCCACGCAGUAAACGAUGCAGACUAGGCGUAGGUGGACUUGACCCCAUCUGUGCCGGAGCUAACGCGGUAAGUCUGCCGCCUGGGGAGUACGGCCGCAAGGCUAAAACUCAAAGGAAUUGACGGGGGGCCCGCACAAGCGGCGGAGCGUGCGGUUUAAUUCGACGCAACGUGCAGAACCUUACCAGGGCUUGACAUGGACCUGCAGGACCGGGAAACCGGGAGGCCUUCGAGGGUGGUCCACAGGUGCUGCAUGGCUGUCGUCAGCUCGUGUCGUGAGAUGUUGGGUUAAGUCCCGCAACGAGCGCAACCCUCGUGGCUAGUUGUCGAUGUUUCUAGCCAGACUGCCGCGAGCAACGCGGAGGAAGGUGGGGAUGACGUCAAGUCAGCAUGGCCCUUACGUCCUGGGCAACACGCACGCUACAAUGGCCGGGACAGCGGGGUAGCCAAACCGCAAGGUGGAGCGAAUCCCGUGUAAACCCGGUCUCAGUUGGAAUUGUGGGCUGCAACUCGCCCGCAUGAACG
Molecule: ribosomal RNA, 540 nt
Filed under: uncultured bacterium
Lineage: Bacteria
Description: bacterial SSU rRNA
Rfam family: Bacterial small subunit ribosomal RNA
Source: RNAcentral